GAUGAACGCUGGCGGCGUGCCUAAUACAUGCAAGUCGAGCGAACAGACGAGGAGCUUGCUCCUCUGACGUUAGCGGCGGACGGGUGAGUAACACGUGGAUAACCUACCUAUAAGACUGGGAUAACUUCGGGAAACCGGAGCUAAUACCGGAUAAUAUAUUGAACCGCAUGGUUCAAUAGUGAAAGACGGUUUUGCUGUCACUUAUAGAUGGAUCCGCGCCGCAUUAGCUAGUUGGUAAGGUAACGGCUUACCAAGGCAACGAUGCGUAGCCGACCUGAGAGGGUGAUCGGCCACACUGGAACUGAGACACGGUCCAGACUCCUACGGGAGGCAGCAGUAGGGAAUCUUCCGCAAUGGGCGAAAGCCUGACGGAGCAACGCCGCGUGAGUGACGAAGGUCUUCGGAUCGUAAAACUCUGUUAUUAGGGAAGAACAAAUGUGUAAGUAACUAUGCACGUCUUGACGGUACCUAAUCAGAAAGCCAACGGCUAACUACGUAGCCAGCAGCCGACGG
This 513-nucleotide ribosomal RNA is filed under the name uncultured bacterium. RNAcentral's name for it is "bacterial SSU rRNA". It matches the Rfam family "Bacterial small subunit ribosomal RNA", at positions 28 to 520 of the family's 1533-position model. The record is from RNAcentral.